RNAcentral lists this long non-coding RNA (1087 nucleotides) under Vulpes vulpes (red fox). RNAcentral describes it as "lncRNA (ENSVVUG00000019901.1)". Lineage: Eukaryota; Metazoa; Chordata; Mammalia; Carnivora; Canidae. The record is from RNAcentral.
GGCAUUUCCUAUCUUCAUCAGGAGGUCUCUGGUUGCCAGGUUCCUUCCAGGAUGACAUUCCCAAAAGCCCUUGCUCUGUCCCAGGGACCUGGUGCCAGCACAUUCAAACAUCUAUCUCUCAGGUUUUAGGGGGAGGAGUUGGUUUUUGUUUUUUAACUACCUCUCAUUUCUUCAGUGAAGUCACAAAGUGUUAAGUAAGUUCCUGCUCUGUGCACUGCAUUGAAAGCCUGGAAACUAGCUAGGGAGAAGAACCACGUUACUGCACAGGUGGGAAGGUGGAGGACAGCACCGAGCUGAGUGGGGGGAGGCAGAGGCAGAGUGGCUCCAAAACUGCUCGGCAAAGACUUCUGGCCCUGGGGCAGCUGGCACCAAGUAGGAAAGGAAGGGACGGGCUGAGCCUGUGGAGAGAUGCCAGGGGGACUUAGGAAAGCACCCAGCCAGACCCAAGGGGUUUGACAGGAGGGAUUAGGAGGUGAGGCGGAGUCCCCUCAGCUGCAUGGACUCGAAUGAGAGAAACGUGUCUAGUCAAGGACUAGGAACGCUGUUGAGUGAAGACAAAGGAACAGGAAAACAGCAACCAAAGCAGCAAGGAGAAAAUGACCCCGCUGACCAGGAAGGGCUGCUUUUCACUCCUGAGGAACUCCACAGAACCCAAGAACCCCCCCAACCCCCAGCUCUUGUCUGGCACUGCCCUCCCAACCCUGUUCCUGUCCAGUCCCCCACCUCCCCUGCCCAGACAUCCAGAAUGCCGCCUGCCCCCUCCAAACCCCUCGGUUACUGGGAAACAUGAUGUCAGUACUCCAGCAACGUCAGUCAGCCACCAGCCUGGGAGGUGAGGGCCCCGAGAUCCUUUAUCUCCUCAGCCUUUCUCAUUUCCUGCGGCUCUAUUUGCACACUUCCCAGCUUCCUCCAGUGCCCAGCGCCCAGUACCCAGUCUGUGGGCUACUGACGCAGUCUCCCCAGCACCCGCACCCCAGGCAGCUGACUGAGGGCAAACAGGGCUCUGUGAGUCACACACAGCUCCCCCUUUCCCUGUCCCUUCUUGCCUGGGGGUUUCAUUAGCCCACUGCCCUGUCGUCCCCCCCAC